CAAGCGAGCAAUGCUUGCUUUGCACUGUUUCUCUUGCUCCUGCAAGGCAAAUGCCACUGCUCCUGCUUUCUGCCCCUGGGCACCCCCAUCCCCACUGGGCUGGGGACCAGAGGCAGAUGCCACAGGAGCCAACUCCCCCACACCGCUGGGGCGCUCGGGGGAAGGCAGGCACCCCAACCCCCAGGGAGAAGCCCCCGACCACACGCGAAAUGACCCGGAACCACACUGAUUUUGAACACAGCCAGCCGAACUGCUCCUGCAGUCAGCUGGAGGGCCAUGCCCCCUCCACGGAGGGACAGGCUCUUCGCAGGGUCCGAUGCGAACGAUGGAGCUUCGGAAACCAGCGGGACAACUGGGGUGGGCGGUGCGGGCAGCACGGGCGCUGGUGUCGGCUCUUGAGGCGGUCCCGUGGGCUCAGCACCAUUCUUGGCAUGCUCUUGCACUGCCAUCGGGUCGGCAGGGAGCGGCGGGACAGGCGGGGGCGGCGGGCUCGGAGCGGGGUCGGCCCGCGCAGGCACCGCCUGCACCGUUGCGAAUUCAGUUGCUGGCUGGGAUGCAGAGGGAGAAGGCACGGAGGCAGCUCCUGCAGCUCCCGGGGACAGCAGCACAGCCGGGGAAUCACUGUUGUUGAUCGCGUUGCCUGGCAACACGGGCGGAUCGGCGAGAGGCGGUUCCGGGUGCCGCGGCGCAGGCGCAGUCAUCAGAGCCGGCGGAGCCGCUCCAAGAGGCUGUGGGGCCGCGGGCGGAGCCGGCUGAGGCGGAGCCGCGGGGUCCGGCGCCUCCCGCGGGGCUGGCUGAGGCGGAGUCGGAUCCGCCCCCUCCCGGGGUGGGGGAAGCGGAGAAUUUCGCGGCGAAGCGGGCGGGGCCGGCCCGGAAAGCGGCGGGUUCGGUUUUUCAUCCCCCCCAAGAGAAGGAGCGGGGGGGGGAAGGCAGAUCUGUUUGCUCCAAGGGAGCAGAGAAAAACUUUUGCUCAGCUGUGGGCAGUGCGGGGGGGCUGCAAACUCGCGGUUCGUCUUCUUUGAGAGGCUCCUCUCGUGCCGAAGCUGGCGGGGACAGAACGCGACUGCGCACCCGAGCCAUGAUGUCCCCCGCAGCCCGUCCCCAUUUCAAGAUAACGCCAUAAAUCAGUACGUGCACUGCAUGCAUCAUUGGGGAUGAAACACGCUGGACUAUUGUCCACCUAAAAAGAGCGUCCAUGAACUCCCAAAAACCUAAAUCAAGGGAGUCUAUGACAUUUGUAAUAAAUCUAUGAAAUUUUGCCCAUCUGAAGAACUCAUAACACCGUCUCUCCAACAUACAUUGAGGAAUUCUGUCCCUGCGUCCCCAUCUGCACCAGAGUUUAAUAACUUUCUCCUCUGACGCAGUAAACGGAACCUGAGCUUCCGAAGGUACAUUUUUCCAACUUUCCUCCCACCUUUUGCGAAUGGCAGGAUCUUCAGAAAGGGAAAAAAUAACAGUACCUUUAGACAGUGUCCUUGUGGAUCCAGCUGUGCAGCUCUGCUGCUCUGCAGCCUCUGGACACAAUCUCCAGGAAAGUCCAACAGGUUCUCCUGUUUGCCUUGGCUGUGAACUCUGCCCAUCUUCAGGGUCUCGUUUCUUCAGCUCCAGGCUAGAUUCCAUGGUCACUCUUGGGGUGACCAUCAGUUUCACACAUCCAGGGGUCACCAAUUCUUGCUUUGACUGCAACCCCUUGGACGAGGACACGAGGCUUGACUCCAUUUUCAUCAGAAGGCUGAUUUAUUAUGAUAUAUAUUAUACUAAAAUGCUACAUUACAACUAUACUAAAAGAACAGAGAGAGAAAGAUCAGAAGGCUACAAAGACAAGAAUAGAACAGGAAUCAAUAACAAAAAUCCUGUGACUGCUCACAGCCUUGACACAGGUGGCUGUGAUUGGUCACUGAUUGAAAACAAUCCACAUGAACCAAUGGAAGAUUCACCUGUGGCACUCCACAGCAGCAGAUAGUUAUUGUUUACAUUUCUUUCCUGAGGCCCUCAGCUCCUCAGGACAGGAAAAAUCCUAGCAGAGGCUUUUUCACUAAAAAUCCUGGCAACAACACAUUUUGCCCAUCUAUGAUGAUCCAGCAGAAUGUCAAACCCAAGAGCAAUGCCCCAAGAGCAGAGGUGGUGCUGGGGAAGAGGAGGCAGGGCUUCAAAGUGUCUCAGGAUGGGUCCCCAGCUGGACUUGGCUGUUAUUUCAGCCAGAGCUUGGCCAGCUCUCUGUGAUUCCAGCAACUGAAAGCUUAAGGACAAUGACUCAUCUUUGGGAUUAUGUUUUGCAAUUCCUCCUUCAUCACAGGGACCAUGCUUAGAAGGUUUGCCUCCUUGCAUGGUACGUCCAUUCCCUCCCUUCUCUUUCUACCUCCUCAUAUGUUCCUUUGUCCUCCAUUUUCUCCAGCGCAAGACCCAGCACCAGAAGCCAAGAGAAGAGCCCAGAGUAUGCAGACCCGCGCUGAAUUGUGCAGGUUGGCUAAAGAGAACUUAGAGCAGAAGAAAAUGGAGAUUUUGUUGGAAGAGAUGAAGAGGAGACAAAAUGAAAAAUCAUUGCAGCUUCCUCCAGAGACAUUUGAGCCUGGAGAUGCAGCUGAAGCAAGCUUCAGCCUACCACCUAUCAAUGGCACAGCUCCCAGUGUACAGAGAAAAGAUGCUGGUAGCGCCAUGAAGAAAACAGUCGUGAGAAAGCAGGACACGGUGCCCUUACAGCCCAGUACGCCCACCCUCCAUGGAGAUGGCAGCU
This is a long non-coding RNA of Passer domesticus (house sparrow), 2734 nucleotides long. RefSeq lists it as uncharacterized. Lineage: Eukaryota; Metazoa; Chordata; Aves; Passeriformes; Passeridae. The transcript is spliced from 3 exons. The record is from RefSeq and is a predicted model, not a curated record.